Molecule: long non-coding RNA, 1413 nt
Organism: Nannospalax galili (Upper Galilee mountains blind mole rat)
Lineage: Eukaryota; Metazoa; Chordata; Mammalia; Rodentia; Spalacidae
Exons: 3
Source: RefSeq, a predicted model, not a curated record
UGGAGUAGGAUAGUCAGAACCCUUCCCUGGGCCCCAAACCCGGCAGUCAGAGCCCCCCAAACCCAUGGAAGCUCAAGUGACAGGUUCAGGCAUGGAACUCGGUUUUCAGGCUUGCAUACCAAGGCUCUGCUCAGCCUUCUCACAGACCCUGUCAUGGAAACUUCCAAAUUUGCACCAGAGAAGACGAAAUGAAAUAAAGAAUGUCCAUGUACCCAUCAUCCAACUGGCGUCAGCUCUUACCAUGUAGAACUGGUUGUUCUGAAACUCAAGCCAGCCUUGAACUCAUAGAGAUCCACCUGCCUCUACCUCCUGAGUGCUUCAAUUGACGGGGUGUUCCAUCACGCUGGGCAAAGAUGAAUCCUUAACUGUAGAACUCCUGAAUCCCAGGAUAGAAACACUUUUAAAGAUUUUGGCUUUAUUUGUCCAGGACCACUUCUAGAAAGGUUGUAUAAAUUUAUGCUCCCUUGUACAUGAGAAUGCUAGUCUGUUGUUACUGUACUCUCACCUGUAUUGACCUUGAUGCAACACAUACAUGCACAUACAUACACAUUUUGCUGUCGUGGAAUGUUAAAAGUGCUUUCUUUACAUAUUUUGGAUUGCCAAGCUUAUCCUAAGAAGCCAUCCCAUGACUCCAGUGAAACAAACUCUCUUGAAGGGGCCCCAGGAAAUAUGUUGUCACUUCUUGGGGAUCCCAGCUGAGGUCUGUGAGAAGGGUGAGGAUCCAUCUUUCCAGAUGUUCUGGGUCCAGGUAGCUAUCUAUCCCCAGCUCUUGGAACAGGGAGGAGCCUGGGAACGCUCCUGCCUCAUCUAAAGGGCAGCCACCAGGGGUCAGGAUGGGGCCAGAGAUCCUGCUGGUGGGAGAGGGUAGGAAUGGCCAACAGCCAGACACUACAUUUCCUCUGUCUGGCCGCUGGUGGCCAGACACAAAGCUCAAGCUCUACUUGUCAGAUUUUAAUUCCAGAAUGUUCUGUAAGGCUUUCUUCCCUGUUUGACUGUCUCUGCCUUUUGCAGCUUGCUGAAAAGGGAGAUAGUCUGGACUCAUCUUUGAGAAGCCCACAUCCAUGCUCUGGUUUUUGGUGUGUGUCUUUCUGAGCACCUCUCUCUCUCUCUCAACGCUCAUGCUUAAAAUUACAUUAAAAUACCUUUAAUAAACUCUGACUUAAUAAACACAUGUAUUAAUAAACACAUGUAGGAGGUUUCAGUAUCUACAGAAUUCAUUUCUAGGUAAAGAAGUGUCUCCUUUGUCCCCCUGGGGCCAGUAAGUGCCCCAUCCCAUUCCUCCCCUUACCCUUGUAUGAUGCCUUCUUCCAGGCACAGCAACCACAGGCUCAGGUGCCACUGUUUAUACCCUGGGUUCUCCUAUGCAAAUCUCCCCUUGGCCCAAAUUUGUCUUUGCAUAAGAAUAAAAAUGUU